CGGACGGGUGAGUAACGCGUGGGUAACCUGCCUUGUACUGGGGGACAACAGUUAGAAAUGACUGCUAAUACCGCAUAAGCGCACAGUAGUCGCAUGAUACAGUGUGAAAAACUCCGGUGGUACAAGAUGGGCCCGCGUCUGAUUAGCUAGUUGGUAAGGUAACGGCUUACCAAGGCGACGAUCAGUAGCCGACCUGAGAGGGUGACCGGCCACAUUGGGACUGAGACACGGCCCAA
Molecule: ribosomal RNA, 236 nt
Filed under: uncultured bacterium
Lineage: Bacteria
Description: partial 16S ribosomal RNA
Rfam family: Bacterial small subunit ribosomal RNA
Source: RNAcentral